Molecule: long non-coding RNA, 1419 nt
Organism: Callithrix jacchus (white-tufted-ear marmoset)
Lineage: Eukaryota; Metazoa; Chordata; Mammalia; Primates; Cebidae
Source: RefSeq, a predicted model, not a curated record
GUGAGUGCGAAGGAGGAGAAGAGGAAGAGGCCGUUGCUGUCCAGGAAGAGGCCUUUGCGCUUCUGGUGCAGGACGAGGGCCAGCAUGGCAAAGAAGGUGAAGAUGAAGAGGAUGAAGAUCUGGCCCUCGGUGACCAGACAGGGACUCACUCUGUCACUCGGGCUGGAGUGUAGUGACUCAAGAGAUCCUUCCACCUCAGCCCUCAGAGCAGCUGGGACUACAGGAAUCAAAGGCUGGGUGCAGUGGCUCACACGUGCAAUCCCAGCACUUUGGGAGGCAGAGGCAGGUGAAUUACCUGAAGUCAGGACUUCGAGACCAGCCUGGCCAACAUGGUGAAAGCUCAUCUCCACUAAAAAUACAAAAAAUAGCUGGGUGUAGUAGUGGGCACCUGUAAUCCAGCCUGUAAUCAAGAGGCUGAGGCAGAAUUGCUUGGACCAGAAAGGUGGAGGUUGCAGUGAGCCGAGAUCGCGCUACUGCACUCCAGCCUGGGUGACGACUAGAACUCCAUCUCAAAAAAAUAAAUAAAAAAUAAAAUAAAAUUGAUAAGCCAAGAAAUAGAAGUUGGGUAUAGUUUUUUUUUAGAGGGUGGACUUUGGAGACUGUCUGGGUUCGUAUCCCAGCUCUGCCACUAAUGAGAUCUUGAGCAAGUUACUUUACGUCUUGUGCCUCAACGUCCUCAUCUGUAAAAUGGAAGGUCGUGGUUUAACUAAUAGAUGCAAAAACUUAGAGCAGGGCCUGAGCCACAGAAAGUGCUACAUAAUGUUUGUGAUUUUUAUAAGCCUAUUAUUUGGAAAUACGAAUUUGACUCCGGUAAAAAAAAGCUAAAAGAAGCUAAAGUGAUUCUCUCUGGUGCCAGGGAAGGGUGGAACACGGAUUGGCAGAAAAGGAAGGGGUUCCUGGGGGGUUGCUUUUAAAAAGUUGAAGGUUUUGGUAUUUGAUUUAUCAUGGGCAUUAAUUAUAGCGCUUUCUUUUCUUCUCUCUCUCUCUUUUUUCUUUUUUGAGAUAGUCACUCUGUCACCCAGGCUAUAGUACAGUGGCACGAUCUCGGCUCCCUGCAACCUCCAUCUGCCAGGCUUAAGUGAUUCUGGUGCCUCAGCCUCCUGAGUAGCUGGAUUACAGGGGUGGGCCACCACACCCGGAUAAUUUUUAUAUUUUUAGUAGGAACGGGGAUUCUCAAUGUUGCCCAGGCUGGUCUCGAACUCCUGGACUCAAGUGAUCCACCCACCUUGGCCUCCCAAAGUGCUGGGAUUACAGGCAUGAGCCAUGACAUCUGGCCUAAUUAAAUACUUUCAUUAUAAUACGAAAACUGGCAACAAAGCAGGUGGAAGCUGGAAUGGGUUACCUUCAGAGGUAGUGAGCAAAGCACAGAUGCAGCAGAGGAAAUCCAAGCAUCCUAGGAGCUGGACAGGAUGAUUCUGC